UACGAAGGGGGCUAGCGUUGCUCGGAAUCACGGGGCGUAAAGGGCUCGUAGGCGGCCAACUAAGUCAGACGUGAAAUCCCCAGGCUCAACCUGGGAACUGCGUCUGAUACUGGAUGGCUUGAAUCCGGGAGAGGGAUGCAGAAUUCCAGGUGUAGCGGUGAAAUGCGUAGAUAUCUGGAGGAAUACCGGUGGCGAAGGCGGCAUCCUGGACCGGCAUUGACGCUGAGGAGCGAAAGCUAGGGGAGCAAACGGG
Molecule: ribosomal RNA, 253 nt
Filed under: uncultured bacterium
Lineage: Bacteria
Description: partial 16S ribosomal RNA
Rfam family: Bacterial small subunit ribosomal RNA
Source: RNAcentral